This 468-nucleotide ribosomal RNA is filed under the name uncultured bacterium. Its description in RNAcentral is "partial 16S ribosomal RNA". It matches the Rfam family "Bacterial small subunit ribosomal RNA", at positions 28 to 507 of the family's 1533-position model. The record is from RNAcentral.
GACGAACGCUGGCGGCGUGCUUAACACAUGCAAGUCGAACGGAAAGGCCCUGCUUUUGUGGGGUGCUCGAGUGGCGAACGGGUGAGUAACACGUGAGUAACCUGCCCUUGACUUUGGGAUAACUUCAGGAAGCUGGGGCUAAUACCGGAUAGGAGCUCCUGCUGCAUGGUGGGGGUUGGAAAGUUUCGGCGGUUGGGGAUGGACUCGCGGCUUAUCAGCUUGUUGGUGGGGUAGUGGCUUACCAAGGCUUUGACGGGUAGCCGGCCUGAGAGGGUGACCGGCCACAUUGGGACUGCGAUACGGCCCAGACUCCUACGGGAGGCAGCAGUGGGGAAUAUUGCACAAUGGGCGGAAGCCUGAUGCAGCAACGCCGCGUGCGGGAUGACGGCCUUCGGGUUGUAAACCGCUUUCGCCUGUGACGAAGCGUGAGUGACGGUAAUGGGUAAAGAAGCACCGGCUAACUACGUG